RNAcentral lists this ribosomal RNA (172 nucleotides) under uncultured Smithella sp. RNAcentral's name for it is "partial 16S ribosomal RNA". It matches the Rfam family "Bacterial small subunit ribosomal RNA", at positions 1210 to 1382 of the family's 1533-position model. Lineage: Bacteria; Pseudomonadati; Thermodesulfobacteriota; Syntrophia; Syntrophales; Smithellaceae. The record is from RNAcentral.
AGGCGUACACACGUGCUACAAUGGUGGUACAAAGAGAUGCAAUCUCGCAAGAGCAAGCAAACCUCAAAAAGCCAUCCUCAGUUCGGAUUGGAGUCUGCAACUCGACUCCAUGAAGUCGGAAUCGCUAGUAAUCGCGGAUCAGCAUGCCGCCGUGAAUACGUUCCCGGGCCUU